RNAcentral lists this unclassified non-coding RNA (780 nucleotides) under Hevea brasiliensis (rubber tree). The record is from RNAcentral. Lineage: Eukaryota; Viridiplantae; Streptophyta; Magnoliopsida; Malpighiales; Euphorbiaceae.
AGAAAUAUUUAAUUUGUUAGAGCCAAAGGAGCUAGGUAUUGUUUCGUGUGCUUGUACGUUAUUGUAUCAGAUUGCAUCAGAGCACCAUGUGUGGAAGGAGUUCUAUUGUGAAAGGUGGGGGCAGCCAAUAUUGCAGGCACCUUUUGGUGCAGGGCUUUCGGAUGGGAAGUUGUGGAAGGAGCUGUUUGUGGAGAGGGAGUUUCGGAGUAAAACAUUCAUGGGACGGUAUACUAUCGAUAUGUUGUAUGGUCAUACUGAGGAUGUUAGAGCAGUUUUUGUUUUAGCUUCAAAGAAGCUUGUGUUUACAUCAGGUUAUGAUCAAAUAGUGCGAAUGUGGGACUUAGAAGAAGGGUUGUCAAUUGCCUCAUCUGAACCUCUUGGCUGCACUAUCCGUGCAGUUGCAGCUGAUUCAAGGCUGUUAGUGGCUGGGGGUACUGGUGGAUUCAUACAUGGUUGGAAAGCGAAUGAAGAAAAUCCUCAUUUGUUUGAUCUUAGAGCAUCUCAGAACGAGGAAAUGCAAUUCCAAGUUUGGGAACAUGGUGGGCCAAUAACAUGUCUUGCGUUGGAUUUCAAUAGGAUGUAUAGCGGUUCAUGGGACAUGAGUAUUCGUGUUUGGGAUCGAUCUUCUCUGGAGUGUUUGAAAGUUUUGAUACACAGUGACUGGGUGUGGAAUCUUGCUCCCCAUGACACAACAGUGGCAAGCACAGCAGGCUCGGAUCUUUAUGUUUGGGAUACUAAUAGUGGGUCAAAACUUGCUAUAAUCGGCAAUGCUCAUGCUGG